RNAcentral lists this ribosomal RNA (253 nucleotides) under uncultured bacterium. RNAcentral's name for it is "partial 16S ribosomal RNA". It matches the Rfam family "Bacterial small subunit ribosomal RNA", at positions 524 to 776 of the family's 1533-position model. The record is from RNAcentral.
UACGAAGGGGGCUAGCGUUGUUCGGAAUCACUGGGCGUAAAGCGCACGUAGGCGGAUCUUUAAGUCAGAGGUGAAAUCCCAAGGCUCAACCUUGGAACUGCCUUUGAUACUGGGGAUCUUGAGUCCGGGAGAGGUGAGUGGAACUGCGAGUGUAGAGGUGAAAUUCGUAGAUAUUCGCAAGAACACCAGUGGCGAAGGCGGCCCACUGGAUCGGUACUGACGCUGAGGUGCGAAAGCGUGGGGAGCAAACAGG